CACCACCAGGAGUGGAGCCUGCGG
This 24-nucleotide non-coding RNA is filed under the name Arabidopsis thaliana (thale cress). The record is from RNAcentral. RNAcentral also lists the same sequence under 6 other names. Lineage: Eukaryota; Viridiplantae; Streptophyta; Magnoliopsida; Brassicales; Brassicaceae.